RNAcentral lists this ribosomal RNA (311 nucleotides) under uncultured eukaryote. RNAcentral's name for it is "partial 18S ribosomal RNA". It matches the Rfam family "Eukaryotic small subunit ribosomal RNA", at positions 1470 to 1796 of the family's 1831-position model. The record is from RNAcentral.
CCCCUAGACGUUCUGGGCUGCACGCGCGCUACAAUAAUACGCACAGCGAGUAUCACCGAGCUCGAAAGGGCAAGGUAAACAAUAGAAAAGGUACUGUAAUGGUUAUAGAUCCUUGUAAUUAUUGAUCUUCAACGAGGAAUUCCUAGUAAGUAUGUGUCAUCAUCACGCACUGAUUACGUCCCUGCCCUUUGUACACACCGCCCGUCGCUCCUACCGAUUGAGUGAGCCGAUGAAACUGCCGGAUGUGGACUAUUCAUAGUCUGCAGAAGAUAUUUGAAUCGUAGCGCUUAGAGGAAGGAGGAGUCGUAACA